CCUACGGGUGGCUGCAGUGAGGAAUAUUGGUCAAUGGGCGCGAGCCUGAACCAGCCAAGCCGCGUGAAGGAUGACUGCCCUACGGGUUGUAAACUUCUUUUAUAAAGGAAUAAAGUGAGGCACGUGUGCCUUUUUGUAUGUACUUUAUGAAUAAGGAUCGGCUAACUCCGUGCCAGCAGCCGCGGUAAUACGGAGGAUCCGAGCGUUAUCCGGAUUUAUUGGGUUUAAAGGGAGCGUAGAUGGGUUGUUAAGUUAGUUGUGAAAUAUUGCGGCUCAACCGUGGAAUUGCAAUUGAUACUGGCAGCCUUGAGUACAGUUGAGGUAGGCGGAAUUCGUGGUGUAGCGGUGAAAUGCUUAGAGAUCACGAAGAACACCGAUUGCGAAGGCAGCCUACUAAACUGCCACUGACAUUGAUGCUCGAAAGCGUGGGUAGCAAACAGGAUUAGAUACCCCAGUAGUC
Molecule: ribosomal RNA, 460 nt
Filed under: uncultured bacterium
Lineage: Bacteria
Description: partial 16S ribosomal RNA
Rfam family: Bacterial small subunit ribosomal RNA
Source: RNAcentral